RNAcentral lists this ribosomal RNA (490 nucleotides) under uncultured bacterium. RNAcentral describes it as "partial 16S ribosomal RNA". It matches the Rfam family "Bacterial small subunit ribosomal RNA", at positions 30 to 507 of the family's 1533-position model. The record is from RNAcentral.
AUUGAACGCUGGCGGCAGGCCUAACACAUGCAAGUCGAACGGUAACAGGAAGAAGCUUGCUUCUUUGCUGACGAGUGGCGGACGGGUGAGUAAUGUCUGGGAAACUGCCUGAUGGAGGGGGAUAACUAUUGGAAACGGUAGCUAAUACCGCAUAACGUCGCAAGACCAAAGAGGGGGACCUUCGGGCCUCUUGCCAUCGGAUGUGCCCAGAUGGGAUUAGCUAGUAGGUGGGGUAACGGCUCACCUAGGCGACGAUCCCUAGCUGGUCUGAGAGGAUGACCAGCCACACUGGAACUGAGACACGGUCCAGACUCCUACGGGAGGCAGCAGUGGGGAAUAUUGCACAAUGGGCGCAAGCCUGAUGCAGCCAUGCCGCGUGUAUGAAGAAGGCCUUCGGGUUGUAAAGUACUUUCAGCGGGGAGGAAGGGAGUAAAGUUAAUACCUUUGCUCAUUGACGUUACCCGCAGAAGAAGCACCGGCUAACUCCGUG